GACGAACGCUGGCGGCGUGCUUAACACAUGCAAGUCGAACGAGGAAAUUGACUUCGGUUGAUUUUCGAGUGGCGGACGGGUGAGUAACGCGUGAGCAAUCUGUCCUACAGAGGGGGAUAACAACUGGAAACAGUUGCUAAUACCGCAUAAGACCACACUGCCGCAUGGCAGAGGGGUCAAAGGAGCAAUCCGGUAAAAGAUGAGCUCGCGUCCGAUUAGCUAGUUGGUGAGAUAACAGCCCACCAAGGCGACGAUCGGUAGCCGACCUGAGAGGGUGAUCGGCCACAUUGGAACUGAGACACGGUCCAGACUCCUACGGGAGGCAGCAGUGGGGAAUAUUGGGCAAUGGGCGAAAGCCUGACCCAGCAACGCCGCGUGAGGGAAGAAGGGUUUCGGCUCGUAAACCUCUGUCCUAUGGGACGAAGAAGUGACGGUACCAUAGGAGGAAGCCCCGGCUAACUACGUG
This 466-nucleotide ribosomal RNA is filed under the name uncultured bacterium. RNAcentral's name for it is "bacterial SSU rRNA". It matches the Rfam family "Bacterial small subunit ribosomal RNA", at positions 28 to 507 of the family's 1533-position model. The record is from RNAcentral.